AUAUUUCAUAUUCAUCAUUUUUUAGUUGACACUGGAGACUGUCAAGAGCCUAAUGAAGAACUGAGACAAGGUGGACCUAAAGAUUGUUGUGAUAUCUGCUACACAAUCCUAGAUAAAGGACAAACCUGUGACGACCCGGCAACUCCGUAUGCAGUUUGUGCUCCACAGUUUUUCUGUAUAAAUAGUAAAUGCUUGUAGAAUAAUGCUAUUAUUCUAUAUGAACGGCAAAACCAAAAAGUAUACAGGGUGUUCGUAAAAGCAUUAUUUUUAAGCUACAGAGUGUUGAACUUUUCUAAUAAAUUACUUUUAUCUUAUAAUAUUCUAAAUCUUGUAAUGUUUAUAUUGUGAUAUACAAUUUAUUAUUCCUUAUAAGAAAAGUACAUUCUUCACUAUUA
Long non-coding RNA from Leptinotarsa decemlineata (Colorado potato beetle), 395 nucleotides. Lineage: Eukaryota; Metazoa; Arthropoda; Insecta; Coleoptera; Chrysomelidae. The record is from RefSeq and is a predicted model, not a curated record.